GGGAGGACGAACACUAUUACGGAUUGGGGUGACGGGGAAGGGAAGGCGAGCGAUAGAAAAGAUAGAAAGAGGCAAGAAUUGCGUAAAGCGGGGAUAGUCACCACCAGGAUCCAGCAGCAGUCCCGUUGCACGACGUUCCGACGGUCCGAGGCCGAAGGGCAGGAGCAGCGAGGCCGGUCUUGGGCAACAAGAGGGUGCAGGUACCGGGUGGGUCCAGGAAGAAGCCGCAGAGUAAGUCUGGGAGGAAGCAGCAGGUCUCAGGUAGCAGGCCCAGGGAAGUCCGU
RNAcentral lists this long non-coding RNA (284 nucleotides) under Gallus gallus (chicken). Its description in RNAcentral is "lncRNA (ENSGALG00010000825.1)". The record is from RNAcentral. Lineage: Eukaryota; Metazoa; Chordata; Aves; Galliformes; Phasianidae.